AAAUUCCUGAAGCUCACGUUUUGGUCGCUAUUUAUCCUUACAGAGCAUACACGGGAUGGUCGGGUCGUAGGGUGGCUGUCAAGCCGGAAUAUCCGGAAGGCAAAAACCAUAUGCAGGCAACCCACUUAUCGGAAGAUAAGGUAUGAAUUGCGAUCAGACGGUUCUUCGGGGUUUUC
RNAcentral lists this non-coding RNA (176 nucleotides) under Eubacteriales Family XIII. Incertae Sedis bacterium. RNAcentral's name for it is "6S RNA". It matches the Rfam family "6S / SsrS RNA". Rfam says of the family: E. coli 6S RNA was the first non coding RNA to be sequenced, but its function was unknown until recently. It consists of 184 nucleotides that fold into an extended hairpin structure with a large single-stranded internal bulge. The record is from RNAcentral. Lineage: Bacteria; Bacillati; Bacillota; Clostridia; Peptostreptococcales; Anaerovoracaceae.